AGUCAACAUGCCCAGGGGACGUGGAUAACCUCGGGAAACUGAGGAUAAACCGCGAUAGGUCAUCACUUCUGGAAUGGGUAAUGACUUAAACCUAUAUGGCCCCUGGAUUGGACUGCGGCCGAUCAGGCUGUUGGUGAGGUAAUGGCCCACCAAACCUGUAACCGGUACGGGCUCUGAGAGGAGGAGCCCGGAGAUGGGCACUGAGACAAGGGCCCAGGCCCUAUGGGGCGCAGCAGGCGCGAAACCUCUGCAAUAGGCGAAAGCUUGACAGGGUUACUCUGAGUGAUUUCCGUUAAGGAGAUCUUUUGGCACCUCUAAAAAUGGUGCAGAAUAAGGGGUGGGCAAGUCUGGUGUCAGCCGCCGCGGUAAUACCAGCACCCCGAGUGGUCGGGACGUUUUAUUUGGGCCUAAAGCAUCCGUAGCCGGUUCUACAAGUCUUCCGUUAAAUCCACCUGCUUAACAGAUGGGCUGCGGAAGAUACUAUAGAGCUAGGAGGCGGGAGAGGCAAGCGGUACUCGAUGGGUAGGGGUAAAAUCCGUUGAUCCAUUGAAGACCACCAGUGGCGAAGGCGGCUUGCCAGAACGCGCUCGACGGUGAGGGAUGAAAGCUGGGGGAGCAAACCGGAUUAGAUACCCGGGUAGUCCCAGCUGUAAACGAUGCAGACUCGGUGAUGAAUUGGCUUAUUGCUAAUUCAGUGCCGCAGGGAAGCCGUUAAGUUUGCCGCCUGGGGAGUACGGUCGCAAGACUGAAACU
Molecule: ribosomal RNA, 753 nt
Filed under: uncultured archaeon
Lineage: Archaea
Description: bacterial SSU rRNA
Rfam family: Archaeal small subunit ribosomal RNA
Source: RNAcentral